Non-coding RNA from Kogia breviceps (pygmy sperm whale), 439 nucleotides. NCBI's taxonomy places the organism in Eukaryota, Metazoa, Chordata, Mammalia, Artiodactyla, Physeteridae. The record is from RefSeq and is a predicted model, not a curated record.
CAUCCCAACAGACCCAUGACAGGUGCCAGCUGUGCAGCCUCCCUUCAGACUCCCUGAAUAUUUUGGCCUGUGCUGCACACUGUGGAAAGAAAAGCAUCCUAUGAACCGUCAUACACUCAGACUGGUGCUGAUGAUACGCUCUGUCAAUUCCUUUGUGAUACUGCCCUUGGAACCCAGCUGUCACGCUGUGAGGAAGCCCAAGCCACCCUGUGGAGAGGCACAUGUGGAGAGGAGCAGCAUACAGCACCAACUUGAAAGCCAUGUGAGUGAGUAAUCUUGGAAGUGGAUUCUUCUGCCCCAGCUGUGUGUGUUAGGGGUUAGGGGUGCAGGGUGCAGAGCUGAGCUGUGCCUGCUGAGCUCUGCUCAUUUUGUAGAUUCGUGAGCAAACUAUAUGGUUGCUGUGUUUCUAAGUCACUAAUUUUUGGAGUGGUUUGUUUGC